This 407-nucleotide ribosomal RNA is filed under the name uncultured bacterium. RNAcentral describes it as "partial 16S ribosomal RNA". It matches the Rfam family "Bacterial small subunit ribosomal RNA", at positions 29 to 526 of the family's 1533-position model. The record is from RNAcentral.
AUUGAACGCUGGCGGCAGGCCUAACACAUGCAAGUCGAACGGAGUGGCGGACGGGUGAGUAAGGUCUGGGAAACUGCCUGAUGGAGGGGGAUAACGUCCGGAAACGGGCGCUAAUACCGCAUACUAUCAGAUGGGCCGAGGUCGGAGUAGCUAGUUGGUGGGGUAAAGGCCUACCAAGGCGACGAUCCGUAACUGGUCUGAGAGGAUGAUCAGUCACACUGGAACUGAGACACGGUCCAGACUCCUACGGGAGGCAGCAGUGGGGAAUAUUGGACAAUGGGCGAAAGCCUGAUCCAGCCAUGCCGCGUGUGUGAAGAAGGUCUUCGGAUUGUAAAGCACUUUCAGCGGGGAGGCGUUACCCGCAGAAGAAGCACCGGCUAACUACGUGCCAGCAGCCGCGGUAAUUC